Molecule: ribosomal RNA, 504 nt
Filed under: uncultured microorganism
Description: bacterial SSU rRNA
Rfam family: Bacterial small subunit ribosomal RNA
Source: RNAcentral
GAGUUUGAUCUUGGCUCAGGAUGAACGCUGGCGGCGUGCUUAACACAUGCAAGUCGAACGGGCUCAUAUUGAAACCUAGUGAUUUAUGAGUUAGUGGCGGACGGGUGAGUAACGCGUGGAAAACCUGCCGUAUACUGGGGGGAUAACACUUAGAAAUAGGUGCUAAUACCGCAUAAGCGCACAGCUUCGCAUGAAGUGGUGUGAAAAACUCUGGUGGUAUACGAUGGUUCCGCGUCUGAUUAGCUUGUUGGCGGGGUAAUGGCUCACCAAGGCAACGAUCAGUAGCCGGCCUGAGAGGGUGAACGGCCACAUUGGGACUGAGACACGGCCCAAACUCCUACGGGAGGCAGCAGUGGGGAAUAUUGCACAAUGGGGGAAACCCUGAUGCAGCGACGCCGCGUGAGUGAAGAAGUAUUUCGGUAUGUAAAGCUCUAUCAGCAGGGAAGAAAAUGACGGUACCUGAUUAAGAAGCCCGGCUAACUACGUGCCAGCCGCCGCCGUAAU